UUUUUGCCUGAUGCAUGACUAGGGAAUGGCGUUUUACACCUUCUCAUGAGAGGUGGGUCUAAUUAGACAAAGCACUGUGGACUAGUCAAAAAACUCCCAACGGAGGUUGUAAACUCUUAUCUUCCUAUAUUGUGCCACUAACAGUUCAAUGAACCCAUGUUUGCCUGAUGCCCUCCUGAGAACGAGGGUGCGGCUGUUGGUUCUCUGCUUAUCUGCAGUACAAAAGCCAAGUCUCCUCCCAUCUACAAUCUGUUUCUGUUUGGCACCGUGUGUAUAUAAAUAAGGACGGUACUGUGGGUAAACGGCAGGUGCAGCACAAGCUUCUUUCAGAGACAGUUUGCAGCCCGGUUAGAACCAUGAGGUUUUUGAAACUCCUUAGCUUGGUCUUCAUCCUGAUUCUCUGCCUUGAGACCUUUACAACUGAAAGUGCAGGUCCAAAAAGUCGAAGAAUCUGUUGCUACAAAAUGAACCUCUCCAGGGUACAAAGAAGGAUUGCCAGACAUUCCAAGAAGCUUUUCUGUAGAUCUUGCAACAGAAACGAGAUGCCAAGGAAUAAAUAUCAUCCUGGACCAUUACCUCAAGUCUGAAGAAAAGAUGUAUAGACUUGGAUCUCCUUACAGAGUUUGGAAUCCACCCCUUCCCACCCUGCUUUUCACAGUUUUCCUCCAGACACAUCUAUUCAAUUGUUGAAUAUUCAUAAAUUGUACUGACAUUUGAGCUUUCUAAGAAGGUUCCAAACACCCCAUUGGUUGUUCACCAGCAUUCAUCUUCUGAAUAUAUCUGUUGUAUAUGUUGACACACAUCUAUCCCCAUGUGCAGUUCAGCUAAGUUCUGCACUGCACAACCUAGCCUUUCAGGAGAAAGCGGCAGAGGAAAGUCCUUCUUUAAAAGGAAUGAAUGUUGCAACAUGUUCCAGGGAUGUAUACUGAAGCAUUAGGAGGAGGAUACUCUUGAGUCGCAGACUCCUGCAGCCACACUCCAACAGAGGCAUAUAGUCUCCUGAAAACAAGAUUGACACUCUCAGCUGGAAUGUCUUAAGGUGAGAGUGCACAACUUUGAUGGGCUUGAGGUUCAAUUUUGACCUCUUCACCUGGGCUGGGACCCACAGUUAGCCGCUCCUUCUACAAAAUGUUGAGAAGAAAUGUUCCUCUCCCCUGCCCAACCAAACCAAAAGGCACUGGGAGUUCACUUCCAAUUUUUUACUCCCUCCCCUUCCUUUUGUUCAUGUUAUUGUGGGCUCGCUUUUGUUUUCUGAAUGGAAAAUAACAUUUUAAUAUCGGCAAGGCCUUCAAGAAAAGCAGCUGUUCCGGGAGCCUUUCAGGCAGGUGAUCUUCCUUGUUUGAAUACUUCUCCCCUUGGUAGCAGUGACAGAGGUGAGAAUCAGGGCCCCAGGACUGGCAAAAAGCAGACAGGGGCUAAAUAUAGAAAUUUAGAAUCUAGGCUAAGGGUUCCAGCCCUAGGCACAGCUAAUUAGCACUUCCUACUUGGAUAGUGAGUAAAUUGAGUUUUUCUUCACAGCCCAGUGUUUUCUCCUACCUUGGAUAUUACUCAGAGCAGACUAGCUGCUAUGGUCCACUUUCCACCUACACUCCAAACCCGUUAAAUUCCUCCUCAGACAGCUUGCAAACCCUUUGAGAAUUAUUAUUAUCAUUAUCAUUAUUUUUAUAUUUCUGUUCUACCACUCCUUGAAAGAGCUCAGGAAGUUAGAAUGAUAUAGAAGGAGAUUACCCCAUUUUUUUUUGGUUACCCACAACUUUCAGAGGUAAGUUAGAUAAACUAGUAACAUGAGUUUUCUGACAAAUAUGGUUUUGGAUCUGAACCCAGAGCUCCCUGCUUCUUCUCCAAUGCUCAUCAUGACACCACUUUGGUGUUCCUUUGGGCCUAUGUUGGACUUAUUUCCAAGUCAAUCUGUUUAGUGUCAAGGAAUGUGAGAUGGAAAUGUAUGGAGCUUAACAAUAAAUAGUGUUCAAGGGGCUUUGAAUUCCCUACC
Molecule: long non-coding RNA, 1990 nt
Organism: Pogona vitticeps (central bearded dragon)
Lineage: Eukaryota; Metazoa; Chordata; Lepidosauria; Squamata; Agamidae
Source: Ensembl